UGCUUCUAAUGAAAUAUCAAGAUGUGUCUCUGUAGAUGGAUCGUUUUCUCAUCAUUCUACUUUCAUGGCUCACGUGGAAGGUCAAUCAAGUCAAGUCAGAUUAUAAUGUUACAAAGGCAGCCGCGCAGCCGUAGACAAUUACCUGGAUGUUAAAAUCGUGUUCAUUUGAUGUUAGGCCUUCUGAUAUCGCAAAACUGGGUAUUGAAGAUUGAUCGUUGACUGUUUAUGGGAUUUCGGAAGCCAAUCUCGUUAGGCUAUAAUAUUCUACAGACUCAGCCAUCAGACAACCAAGAUGGCCACUGCUUUAUCGUCCAACUUUGAUAAAAUCAGGCCUCCUGAUAUGCCAAAAUCAUCAGGUGUUGAAUAACCAACAUUGACCGUUCAUGUAAUUUGUAAUUUCGGAAGACAAUCUCCUUAGGUAACUGCUAGUUAGGCAAUCAAACUUUGUAUUCACCUUAGCUACCUCUUAAUUAGAUGUGUUACAAAUGAUGUUUUUUUACUUAAAUUUUGAGCCGAUUUUGUGUAUCUUAAAUUGAUUAUUUCUUGAACCAUCAACUUGUUGGUUUUUAAU
Molecule: long non-coding RNA, 571 nt
Filed under: Helianthus annuus (common sunflower)
Lineage: Eukaryota; Viridiplantae; Streptophyta; Magnoliopsida; Asterales; Asteraceae
Source: RNAcentral